Molecule: long non-coding RNA, 8573 nt
Filed under: Homo sapiens (human)
Lineage: Eukaryota; Metazoa; Chordata; Mammalia; Primates; Hominidae
Description: HSALNT0157667
Source: RNAcentral
CUGCUUGAAAACUUACAGUUCUGUUAAUAUAUCUGGAGAAUACAUAAGACUGAACGUCAUGUGGCUGCUCAAACAACGAUUUUAUUUGCCUUUGUUGUGUUUGUUUGUUUUGUGAGACAGAGUCUCACUCUGUCGGCCAGGCUGGAGCACAGCGGUGGGAUCUCGGCUCACUGCAACCUCCGCCUCCUGGCGGGAAUCAAGUGAUUCCCCUGCCUCAGGCUCACGGGUAGCUGGAACUACAGGCACCUGCCACCACACCCAGCUAAUUUUUGUAUUUUUAAUAGAGACAGCGUUUCUCCAUGUUGGCCAGGACGGUCUUGAACUCCUGACCUCAGGUGAUCCACCCACCUCAGCCUCCCAAAGUGCUGGGAUUACAGCCCUGAGCCACCGUGCCUGGCCUGUCUUCAUUGCCUUUGAAAAGCCCCAGAUCCAGCCUUCUAGCACAAGAAGGUAAGGAGGACGCUGCCCGUGAAAUCCAGCCCUUUUGACUUCUUGUUUAACUCCCAGAGUUUCUUAUAAGACCUCCUCAACUGCUUGGCAAUUGUGAAUUGUUCUUUUUAGUUAAGGCCUCUCCUUUCAUGUCGUUCUUUUGUUUUUGUUUUUCAAAAUUAUAAAUGAAUGUUUCCCCUUUGAGGAACCAUGACAAAUAUGCCUGACACCUGGACACACGGUUUCUAUGAGGAAUGGCCUUGCACCUGCAGCCGCUCUGUGACUCGCUGUCCUCGGGUCCCUGGAAAGGACAAGCACUGCUCAUGCCUGUGUUUUCAGGGACCUCAGCAUUGCAGCCUCAACACCCCACACGGGCGUGGUGAAUGGCUGUUCUUUCCUCUUUCUUUUCUGGAAACAUCUGUGGUCAAUUUUUUUUGGUGGCAGAAACCUUCAUUUUGUGAUUAACAACUCUGAGGCAGUAAAGGAUUUGGAAGGAAGAUCUGUUCAGGAUUUAAAGGACAAUGUACAAUAUCAUGUUACUGGAGAGUCCGUUGUGGCCCGUCGUUUUGUAAAUAGGACUUGAGUUUUGCUUUUUUGGCUCUGUCUUUCGCCUUUCAGCAAGCCUCUCACUUUCUGUCUUCCAUGAGUCAUUGCAGCAAGAAAAAUGUUACCCUUAAAAUGCCCUCUUUUCUGAAUUUUUUUUGUACUACAGUUAAGGGAGCUGCUUUCUUCUCUUGUUCGCAAUGUCCAAAAGGAAAAGUCAGCACAGCAAAAUGGCAUUGAAACGCCUCCGCCUCUUGAUUUGCUGCCAUUCCCCUUUAUUCUGGGAGGGCUGGCAGAGCUGGAAUGUCACCAGGUCCCCACUUGUCCUCGUGGUUGCCGGUGGGUCUCCAGCAGCAUGCCAGCGAGCUUCCAAAGUGCCCGCCUAGAGGGCCAGGUUUCCUCAUGUCUCAGCCUCCUCCCUUGCUGUGCGUAGCCAGCGUCGGCAGCCACAGAGGCAGCUGCUUCACUCACUCCUGCACUGGAGGGGAGGCAGAGGAUGUUCCCUGGAGCCACCCAGCCAAGUGUGGCGGGUCAUGGCGCAGCCCCCCAACUUCCCACCUGGCCAGCAUUCCUCUCCACUUCCCACUCUAAAUUAGACUCCCCUCACUAGGGAGGAAGACAGGACACAUUGGGAAGGGGCCCCAGGGCAGAGAUGACUCGGGCCUGCCUCUCCCACCCUCCGGAGUCACGGUUCUCUGAUGCCAGGACAGAUGAGCUCCAGCUCUCUCUCCCAUCUUCAAGGAGCAUCUGAAACAAACAGGAACUUAGAUGGGUUUCUUUAUGCUUUCUUGUGACAUUGAAACACCCUGCAGAAUGCAUGUGGUAGAUCAAGACUGUAAAUGAGUUUCUUCUGCAGUAUCUUCCUUUCGAAUGUAUGUGGGUCUUUGUGUGAGUGUGUAUCACAGACAUCAUUAGUGAGAAAAGCUUUGGAGAGCUCAUCACAGCUAGUUCUUUUCCCCCAGCAUGCAAAAUAGAUCACUGAGCCAGCUGUUUAUGGGAAAUAAUUAUUACUCCCUGACAGCACCUAGGAUUACAGGGAGAAAACUUUUAAGAAGAAGGCACCCAAUUUCAGAAGAUUUUGCUGAUUAAUUUUCUCACCACUUCCAUUCAGUCUGCUUGCUUGCUCCAAAAAUGGGUUUCUAAACUGGAAAAAAAAAAAAAAAAAAAAAGAGUGAAUACAUAACAGAGCAUGUUUCCCAGGCAGCAUUUUGUAACAGAACAAUCAUUUCCAAAUGUCUCCUCUCCAGUUAUAACGUCUUGAACCCUCUGCCACUCAGCCCCUUCAAUGUGAAAGGGCUUCAGGCCUUCACCCGAUCACAUCUUUUGAAUAGUAAACACAGAGACUGAUGUGUGUCAAGGAAAGCACACUGAGAAAUGUCCUUUCCCCCAGAUUGCAGAGUAGAAAAGCAGUAACUGUGAUUUAUGUUGCUAUUGUUCACAGUGCGCUCCCUGUUUAUAGUUCAUUGCAUAGAAACAACCCGUCAUUUACCAGAGAGGCAUGUGAAGAUGCGUUCAUCCAAAGGAAUGUUCCCUAAAAACAGUCUGUGCCUCCAGUGCCCCACCCCAGCACAAGAACGUGCACACACACACACACACACACACACACACACGUCAAGUCGAAUACCAUCUUGAAUGAGCAAAAAUAGCGUCCACCUCCAGGAGAUAUUCACAUUUUCUCAGUGAGCUUUCUCAAGCCAAGCCUUAAAUUGAGCUUGGAAUUUCCUGGAGCCCUGGAAAGGCACUGGCCUUCGAUUUAGCUCCACUGACCUUUGUUUAAGACAUCUUCCCAGAGUCCCAGUUUCCUCAUCUCUGAAUUGGGACGAUAUAAUCUGUGUACCUCUCACUUGGUGAGGUUCUCAUGAGGAAUAAAGGAGAUGAUGGCUUUAAAGUUCCUUUGAUAACUUUUACGUUGUAUUUAAAUAUUGGAGGUUUACGGUUUUUUAGAAACAUUUGAAGCAGCAUCUUCAAUUGGAAGUAUCUUCAUUUGAAGUAGGGAUAUCUUAUUUUUGACAAUCCAUGUACUAAGACGUUAAAAUAACUUACAUUACAAUAAUUAAUCCACUUCUGUUUAUUCCCUAUCUGAAUAGUAAUUGCAUCUUUACCAGCUGAUGUGAAGCAAACUGUAUGCCAUUUGUCUUUACUUGGCAAUAAUCAUAACUUAUACAUAAGAGGUCUUACUACUCGAUAGACAUCCUAAGUGUUUUCACAGAUUCCCUCAUCUGAUCCUCUCAAAUCUUAUCAAUACCAUUCACAGAUUCACUCCUUUGAUCCUCCUCAUAUCCUAGAAAUACCAUUCUUCCUCUUUUGCAGCUGGAGAAGUCAAAGCUCAGGGAAAUGAAGUAGGUUGUUCAUGGUUCACAGGUAGUAAGUGACAAAGCCAGAGUCUGAAUUCUGUUUUUUUUUUUUUUUUUUUUUUUUUUGAGACGGAGUCUUGCUCUGUUGCCCAGGCUAGAGUGCAGUGGCAUGAUCUCGGCUCACUGCAACCUCCAUCUCCAGGGUUCAAGUGAUUAUCCUGCCUCAGCCUCCCAAGUAGCUGAGAUUACAGGCACGUGCCACCACAACUGGCUCAUUUUUUAUAUUUUUAGUAGGGAUGGGGUUUCACCAUGUUGGUCAGGCUCGAACUCCUGACCUUGUGAUCCACCUGCCUUGACCUCCCAAAGUGCUGGGAUUACAGGCGUGAGCCACCACGCCCAACCCCAGAAUCUGAAUUUAUAACCAAAUGCUGUGGGCAUCCAUCAUCUUAUUCUCUAGUAUCAAAGGAAAUCUGAAUGAGUGUGGGAAUUUCCAAAUUGCCUUAUAAUUACUCAAAUUAAUUUACUGCUUGUAACAACUUUCUCAAAAGAAAAGCAGGUAGUGUUAUUCUAUUUUAGAAAAAAAAAACCUUAAAAAUGAGAUCAUAUGUCCAAAGUAAUCCACUAGUAGCCCUGAGAUUAAAACCGCUGCCUCUGAUGCUUUGGUUUGCGGACAAUGACCCACUGCAAUGGUGAAUUAUGUGCCACCUUAUUGUAAGUGGUAGAACAGAGAAUUGGGGUUUCCAGGAAGAUGGCCUAGCUCAGAGCUCAUGCCUGAGGCCCCACCUGCCCCUGGGCUAGUGGGUGCUCCAUGCCAGGCACCUGGGUAGACUUGAGCUGCUGUGUUCUGCUCAGACUAUACAACUGUAUCAGUUGGAAUUGACUCAGGAAAACUGACCUUGUACAGAGGAAGGGGUUUCAUACAGGAAAACAGGGCUUACCCCGCUGUUGGAGGGCCAGCCCUGAGGCCAGAAAGGGACCUUUCUGAUCUGCACAUGUGGAGGCCACAGAGAGGCUUCAUCUCAGGAAAGGGCCCAAUGGCCUUGGACAAAGCUCCACGUGCCUCAUCUGCUGAGACCCUAUAUCUGCUAAGGUCCCACACCUGCUGAGGUCCCACAUCUACUGAGGCCCAUCCCUGCUGUGGCUGCAUAGCUGCCUGCAUCCACCCCAGAGCCUGUGGCUUCUCCCUUCUUCCUGCCUAAGUGGGUCUGGAGACAGGGGUGUGGACAAGGCCCUGGGUUCUGAGUCCCGCCCUCAGGCCUGGGAGUGGGGACAGGUGGCACCUGUGUCAACACCAGCAGGCAGGAACCUGGGUUCACCUUUGGGACCCCCUGCCCACCCCAGGUGAGGGCCAGCACAUGGCAGCCUGGCCUCCCAGGACUCAGGUCCUGCCUGGGGAGAAUCCGCACGCGUGGUGUACUGCCAUUGCCUCCAGAUGCCCAGCCACAUAGCUGGAAAGAAAGGAGCAACGAUUUAAAAUAAUCACAGUGAAAACUCAUUGAAAAAAAUGCUGUUCACUGUGGACGGCCACAUAUAGACUGCAAGCUAGACCAUAGAUUCUGGUUAUAUUCUGUGAAUAUUUAUUGCACUUUCUAAAUGCCAGGCAAGUUUCUAAGCACUGAGCAUACAUUCCAAGAAGAUAUUCUAGAAAUCCCCACCUUCUGGAAGUCACCUUCCACCAGAGGCCGUCAGAUAAUCAGAAAAUAAAUAUAUAAAAUGUCAGGUGGGAUGUGUCCUAGGGGAAGAUGAAUCAGGAGAAUGGUAGGAUGAGGCAGGAGGUAGGAGAGGUUGGCGGGGGCGGUGAUGCCUUACGGGAGGGCAGCAUGACAUUUGAGGAGUGGCGCAAGGAAGGACACAGGCCUGUGGAUGUGCGAUGGAGGACGUCCCCUGCAGAGGGAGUGGCUGGAAAAAGCUGGUGGGGACAGAGCCGGUAGACGGUGGGGUGGGGCUGGUGGGACUCGCCACUGGAAUGCUUGCAGACUGUGACACAGGUUUUGUGUUUUGCUUGGAGUGAGGUGGGAAGGCACCAAGAAGAUCUGAGAGGAGAAGCGAGGGAAUCUGACCAGAGAUUUAAAAGGAUUGUGCCUAUGGGGCGCCGUGGCUCACACCUGCAAUCCAACACCCUAGGAGGCUGAGGAGGGAGGAUCACUUGAGCUGGGGAGGUCGAGGCUUCCAUGAGCCCUGUUCAUGCCACUGCACUUCAGCCUGGGUGACAGAGCAAGACCCCGUCUCUAAAAAACAAAGCAAAAUGAGUAAAAAAGAAAGGAUCGCAGGGAUGAUUGUGUUGACAACAGAACCCAGCAGCUGCCUCUAGAAGGGCCCUGUGUUGGGCUCGGUGCUCUCCUGGGCAACCCUGAAAUCCUUAGUCAUUUUUUAAGGAGAGGCUGGUGUUAGUGCCCAGGGCUAUAGACCAGGCGGCUUCCCCAGAAGACACUCAUUCUUUCCUUCUCGGGGGGGCUGGAUCUGAGGUCAGGGUGUCCGUGUGCAGGGGCUGCCUUCUCACUGUGUCCUCACAGGGCCAUCCCUCUGUGUGCAUCUGGGUCUUAACUGCCUCUUUUUAUAAGGAUGCCAGUCCUGCUGGGUGAGGACCUACCCAUGCGGCCUUAUUUUACCCAAAUCACAUCUGUAAAUGCCCGGUCUCCAGACGCAGCUACAUCUCGCAGCCCUGGGAACAGGCCUCUGUGUAUGAAUUUUGGGGGACACCACUCAGCCUGACGAUCCCUCUGUUCUGAGUAUUUGGGCCUGGGCAACUGGAAGAGGGGGGACCCUGGUUAUUAACUUGGGGAGACCAAGUCCAGCUUUCCUGGAUGGAGGGGAAAAAUGGGAGUUUCUCCCCUCUGAGUCCGAAACAAAAUUGUGCAGUUGUCUAGUGGAAAACGGACACAGGUGUGCUGUUCAGGGGAGCAGGGGAGACGGGGACGUGACCUGGGCGUAGACUUUAAUGGAAGCCCUCUCGGUGGUGGAGCAUGGAGAAGCCUCGGUGUCAGAGCAUGAGGAGGAGCAAGGUGAGUAGCAUGUGUGCAGAGGGUGCACCUGCUGAAGAAACCAGGGACUGCUGUGUCCCCGACACCAAGCAAAGGAAGGUGUUAACAGAGGGGCCUGAGGUUGACGGUGGCCGUGGGGGCCUAGGGGACUAGGAUGGGGACUGUCCCCUGGAUCUGGCUCUGAUGGUCAGUGCAGGGGCAGCGUCCGCCUGGACGGGAGAAAGAGCCCAGAGGGGAGGAGGGGAGGAAGGCUCAGGCCGCAGCUGCUCAUCUCAGCAGGUCUUUCCUCCAAACUCCUCCUGGCUCACAGACUCUCAGGAAAUCACACCAGAAAGCAAAGGAGAGUGCCAUUACUCUGGAGGCCAUUUGAUUAAGCCCACUCUAAUUGUUUGUUAGUUCCCAAACAGCAAAUUUUUGUAUUUUCAUUAUUAGUAGUUAAAAAUUACUUGGAUACUCCACGGUUGGCAGAGUUAUGCAGACGGUCUCACCUGCGGGCUGCACGCAGCCGCUCCGUGGCGCACACAUGUUCUGCCGAAGUCCACGUUUCCGUGCAGCCCUCACCACCUGGACGCCAGGGCGGCGCGGGGGAGCCCUCACCUCACGCCUCACCCGGUGUGGACGUGGCACCUGCUCGCUGCCCCUCCCCUCUGAGCAGCUCCGUCUGCACACUGCGUAAGUUUGGCUGCAAGGCAACAAGGAAACUAAGCUGGAGUCCGGCGUGGCAUGUUGCCAGGGCCACCGGCAGGACAAGGAGCAAUAAAAGUUGAAUUUUAAAAAACAGAUAAAUAAUGUAUGUGUAGAAAAAGGAAGAAACCAGGUACAGAAGUGCACGUAGGUACCGUAUCCACAGAUUGAACACACAUGUGUGCAAAUACGUAUCCCCACACACGUGCACACACACAUACAUACACACACACAUACAUACACACACACACACACACACACGUAGCUGUCAUGUAGAAGCCACUGUUUUUUCAGCUCCAUUUGUGACUUUUAUCAUAACACACUGCCCUCCAGCGCAGCAAUGCCAGGUCUCUUAUAAAUAUUUAUGGCAACCUUUAGCUCUUCGGAAAGCAGCUCCUUCUGCCAUGUGAGGCGCUGCUCUGAGAGGUGACAGGGGUCCCAGGCUUCUCCGCUCUGCCGUGGCUCACAGGCUGUGGCACCUCUCCAUGGACCAGCUCCGGUGGGACGGGUCCUCUAGUUCACUGCCAGCAGGGUGACGGCGGAAACCCUGAAUGCAGCGAUUUUGAGAAGCAAAAUCGGCUGUCGUGUGUUUCUUUUAGGAACUGCAUCGGUGCGGUUGUGAUGAAACCAUUUCGCAUUUACUGAGUGUGCACGCACUCAAUUACAACACGAACAUGUGAAACCAGAACAACGCACAGGAGGAAGGUUGGACAUCAGAACUCUCUGUACCUGCUCUGCAAUUUUUCUGCAAAUCUAAACUUGCUCUGAAAAACAACAUCCAUUUUAUUUAUUGAUCGAUUUGAUUUUUCUGUAGAUACGGUGUUUCGUCCUGUUGCCCAGGCUGGUCUUCUAGGCUCAGCCAUCUGCCCAGCUCAGCCUCCCCAAGUGCUGGGAUUAUGGGAGUGAGCCACCUCGCCCAGCCUAAAAUCCAUUUUAAAAAAACAUGAGAAAUGAUUUGCAUUUGGGACUGAAGAAGAAUGAAAGGCACCUGUAGUUUUGACGCCAAGAAAGCCUAGUUAUACCUUUAUUUUAUUAACCUACUAUUCACCAGGUUUCUGAGUGUGGUUUCUCAGUGUGACCCUAACCCGUCUUAGGAGAGGCGGUGCUAGGAACUGCUAUAGGGGGGCACAGCAGGUGGUCCCUAAAGUUGUGAUGCUCAAGAGAUUCACAGAAUAUCUGAAGAAAAAAGACACGUUUGUUUUUGCAUUUUCUGUGGUUUUGCUGUUGUUGUUCAUCACAAAGUUUGCAGGUUUGCUACAAUUGUGAACAUUCAGAACAAAACACAGAAUAAGAUAAAAAUCAUCAGCUAUGCAAUUGUUUGUUUUUUAAAUACACAUUCUCAAGAUUUUGGUGUUGCUUUUUCUCAGGAUUUUUCUCUGGGAACAUGUUUAUCUUUUCCUGUAGCUGGAAUGACACUCAAUUUUUAGUUUGGGUUUCUUCUUUUAUUCAUCAUUAUCCUGUGGCAAGUGUUUCCCCAGGGUAUGAAAUAUUAUUAAAAGUACAGACUUUAAGGGCUGUUUUGCUGUUUAUCACGUGUAUCAUAAUGUAUUUAAUGCUCCCCAUCUUUUUUUGAAUAUUUAAGUAGCUUUCUGGGUUGAAAUCUUGUAAAUUACACUGCAAUAAAUGUGUUUAUCAUUGGUGC